GAGGACACAGGAAGAAGACAGCCAACUACAAACCAAGGAGAGAGGCCUCAGAAGAAAUCAACCCUGUCGACAUCUUGAUCUCAGACUUCUGGCCUCCAGAACUGAUGUGGGAUCUUAGUUCCCUCACCAGGGAUUGAACCCGUGCCCCCUGGAGUGGAAGCAUGGAGCCUUAACCACUGGACCACCAGGGAAGUCCUCCACUUCUGAUUUUCUAUUUAUGAUUCCCUUCAACUUUCCAGAUGUGUGAAUAUGAUAUGAAAGCUCCUAUUUCAAAGCCCCUGUGGACUGAGGCUCCAGCCUCUUGGUCCCCAGGCUCUUCAUUAAGGUCCUUUCCCAUAGACGGACAGACGGAUGGAUGGAUGGAUGGAUGGAUGGAUGGAUGGAGCCAGCAUACAUGACUGCAGUGAUGCCAUCUUCCCAAAGGUCUUUGUCUUUCUGACAGAAAGGGCACCAGAGCUCCCUCGACCCAGAGUGAGGCCAGAAGAAGAAAGCUGGGGGAAAGAUUAAACUCCUGCUAACCCAGGGGUGAGCAAUCAGAAAGCUCAAAUGACCACACAUUGGGGUGACGGUGUGGGGGGAGAGUGCCCAGGGAACCUAUAAUCACUGGAGACUGUUUUCCAACAGCAGUAUCUUGGGCAGGACUCCUCAGCCUCAGCUGUGCAUUAACAUCACGGGGGAAGAGUUUCUUAAAUACCGUUGCUUGGACCAACCCUGGCGAUUCUGAUUUAUUUGGCCAGAAGUUGGACUCGGCUGUAUUGUGUUUGCUCUCUGAGUUUCUUAGGUGAUUGUGUUAGUUGUCUAUUGCUGCAUCACAAAUUACCACAAACACAGGGGCUCAAAACAACACACAUGUUGUCUCAUGGUUUCUGUGGGUCAGGAAUCUGAGCAUGACUCAGCUGGAGCCUCUGCUUCAGUAUCUCUUAUGAGGCAACAGUCAAGGAGUCGACCAGGGCUGGGGUCUCAUCUGAAGGCUCUACUGGGGAAGGAUCCACUCCCAAGCUCCUGUGUCAUUAGCAGGAUCCAGUAUCUUGCAGGUUGUACAACUGAUGGUCUCAGUUCCUUACUGGAGAUUGGUACCAAACCAAACCUGUACUUCUCAUGCUUUAAAAAGCAUAUAAAUCUCCUAGGGACCUUGUUACAAUGUAGAUUCUAACUGGUGCCUGACACUCUGCAUUUCUUACAAAG
Long non-coding RNA from Balaenoptera ricei (Rice's whale), 1185 nucleotides. RefSeq lists it as uncharacterized. The transcript is spliced from 3 exons. The record is from RefSeq and is a predicted model, not a curated record. Lineage: Eukaryota; Metazoa; Chordata; Mammalia; Artiodactyla; Balaenopteridae.